GUGUCAGCCGCCGCGGUAAUACGUAGGGGGCAAGCGUUAUCCGGAAUCACUGGGCGUAAAGGGUGCGUAGGCGGCUAAUCAAGCCAGGGGUGAAAGGCUACGGCUUAACCGUAGUAAGCCUUUGGAACUGAAUAGCUUGAGUGCAGGAGAGGAGAGUGGAAUUCCUAGUGUAGCGGUGAAAUGCGUAGAUAUUAGGAGGAACACCAGUGGCGAAGGCGACUCUCUGGACUGUAACUGACGCUGAGGCACGAAAGCGUGGGGAGCAAACAGGAUUAGAUACCCUGGUAGUCCACGCCGUAAACGAUGAGUGCUAGGUGUCGGGGGUUCACACCCUCGGUGCCGGAGUUAACGCAAUAAGCACUCCGCCUGGGGAGUACGGUCGCAAGACUGAAACUUAAAUGAAUUGGCGGGG
This 412-nucleotide ribosomal RNA is filed under the name uncultured prokaryote. Its description in RNAcentral is "bacterial SSU rRNA". It matches the Rfam family "Bacterial small subunit ribosomal RNA", at positions 505 to 918 of the family's 1533-position model. The record is from RNAcentral.